Molecule: long non-coding RNA, 1468 nt
Organism: Marmota monax (woodchuck)
Lineage: Eukaryota; Metazoa; Chordata; Mammalia; Rodentia; Sciuridae
Exons: 4
Source: RefSeq, a predicted model, not a curated record
GCCAUCUCUUUUCUCUAAGAAACAAAAAGAAGAGAGAUUCAAGAUGGUGGAGUCGAGGAAGGCUGCAUUCCUAGCUGCUCCGCAGCUCAGGAUUCAAGCAGCUGGAGUGCUGCUUCUCAGCAAGGAGUCAGGAUCGGGGUGUUCCAUGGAGUCGAAGAAUGAGCACCGAAUAAGCAAGCUAGAGUGCCGUUUAAGUCCUACAGCUCUCCUCCUUUAAAGGCAGAUGUGAAAAUUGAGGAACAUAAAGGCUAAAUAAUUUUCCUGAAGUGACCUAUCUGGUACAGACUUAGGUUCCAUGGAUUCUGUUUCCCACCAUGUAUCCAGCACCUAGCAUGGUUUCCAGCAUGGAGCAUGCACUUAGCAAGUAUUUGCCCAACAUUAAGUAGGUUUCCCUUCUCAGAUUCCUAUAAACUUGAUCACAGAGCAUUCCGUACAUAUAUUUGCCUUUUCAUCCUAUUAAAAAAUUUGUACAGUAAAAUAUACCCAUUUUGGUGUACAGGUUUAUGAGUUAUAACAAAAGUAGAAAAUUAUAAAAUCACUAUCACAAUCAAGAUAUAGAAUAGUUCAUCUCUUUACCCAAAAUUCCCUCUUGCUAAAGCUUUGGAGUCAAAUUUUACCCCCAAACUCAAUAUUUGGCAACCACUGAGAAUUUUUUAUUUUACAUUACCCUGAACUCUUUUUUCCGUUUCUAUCCUGCUUUGUCUAUUUUUCAACUGUCUUACUGCUUGCUUAGCAGUAUUCCUGAAUACUGUAUCCGAGAAGUGAAACAGAAUUUAGACGGUUGCCUUACUUAUUUGUGCACCACAUAGAAUCAUUUGAGCAAGUAAUAUGAAUACCUGGAAGAAUGAGAUGAGGAUCAUAAGGUCACCUAGGUUUUUGUUCAAAGCCUACUAUCUCUCCACUUUUAAGAGCUCAGAUCUGUAUGCAUCACUAUUUCACUACCCCUGUUUAAUUCAUGCUUCAUGAUCUUGUCCAGUACCCUGCAAUGGACUUCAUACUGUUUUCCAUGUAUCUAAUUUUUCUUUUCUUAUAUUCAAUCUCUACAUUUCACCCAGAGUGAAGUUUCUAAAAUUGUGAGGCUUUUUAAAGUUCUCCAUUGAGAUUUAGCAUCUUAACAUAUAGUUCACAGCUCUUCAUGAGGCCCCUUCUUUCUUCUCCAGACCUAUUUUUAUUGGAUCAUGGCCUUUGCACUCUAUAAUACUGUUCUGGCAGUCCAGAGUUAUUUGAUAAUUUCCAAUAGUGCCUGAGUGCCUUUGUUCAUGCUGCCCUGAAAGUCUUCCCUUUCUUUAUCUGCCAAUGCACCUGCACAUUAUUGAAGAUGAAUACUUAACUGUUAUCUCCUGCUUUCUGACAAUUCCCUCUUUUGUCUCCAAACUUACCUGCCCACCCACCUGCCAUAGCACCUAUAAUUCCUUACAACAUACGAUGCUCAUGUAUUGAUUUCCUAAUUAAUAGAAACAAAGCCCUU